Molecule: ribosomal RNA, 995 nt
Filed under: uncultured bacterium
Lineage: Bacteria
Description: bacterial SSU rRNA
Rfam family: Bacterial small subunit ribosomal RNA
Source: RNAcentral
UGGGGAAUAUUGCACAAUGGGGGAAACCCUGAUGCAGCGACGCCGCGUGGAGGAAGAAGGUCUUCGGAUUGUAAACUCCUGUUGUUGAGGAAGAUAAUGACGGUACUCAACAAGGAAGUGACGGCUAACUACGUGCCAGCAGCCGCGGUAAAACGUAGGUCACAAGCGUUGUCCGGAAUUACUGGGUGUAAAGGGAGCGCAGGCGGGAAGACAAGUUGGAAGUGAAAUCCAUGGGCUCAACCCAUGAACUGCUUUCAAAACUGUUUUUCUUGAGUAGUGCAGAGGUAGGCGGAAUUCCCGGUGUAGCGGUGGAAUGCGUAGAUAUCGGGAGGAACACCAGUGGCGAAGGCGGCCUACUGGGCACCAACUGACGCUGAGGCUCGAAAGUGUGGGUAGCAAACAGGAUUAGAUACCCUGGUAGUCCACACCGUAAACGAUGAUUACUAGGUGUUGGAGGAUUGACCCCUUCAGUGCCGCAGUUAACACAAUAAGUAAUCCACCUGGGGAGUACGACCGCAAGGUUGAAACUCAAAGGAAUUGACGGGGGCCCGCACAAGCAGUGGAGUAUGUGGUUUAAUUCGACGCAACGCGAAGAACCUUACCAAGUCUUGACAUCCUGCGACGGUGCUGGAAACAGUGCUUUCCUUCGGGACGCAGAGACAGGUGGUGCAUGGUUGUCGUCAGCUCGUGUCGUGAGAUGUUGGGUUAAGUCCCGCAACGAGCGCAACCCUUAUGGUCAGUUACUACGCAAGAGGACUCUGGCCAGACUGCCGUUGACAAAACGGAGGAAGGUGGGGAUGACGUCAAAUCAUCAUGCCCUUUAUGACUUGGGCUACACACGUACUACAAUGGCGUUAAACAAAGAGAAGCAAGACCGCGAGGUGGAGCAAAACUCAGAAACAACGUCCCAGUUCGGACUGCAGGCUGCAACUCGCCUGCACGAAGUCGGAAUUGCUAGUAAUCGUGGAUCAGCAUGCCACGGUGAAUACGUUCCC